Molecule: long non-coding RNA, 3217 nt
Filed under: Ananas comosus (pineapple)
Lineage: Eukaryota; Viridiplantae; Streptophyta; Magnoliopsida; Poales; Bromeliaceae
Description: long non-coding RNA (ACOM_LNC008795)
Source: RNAcentral
GAAGAAGUCAAAUGCAUCAGAAGUGCAUUGCAACGGAUCCGCGAGAGCAAGUUAUGCAAAAAUCUACACUUGGCAAAAAUUGCUCUCGGGGACCGGUCCCUGGCAGGGAGAGACCGGUCCCACCGACUGGUGGUUGCGGCGACGCGCGAGGCAACCUGUCACGCCCCGCGACCGCUACCAAUUUGGCUCGGCCCGGGCGCGUCGAACAGACGCCGAACGGACAGGACCUCCCCUGUCCGUCCAAGGCUAACCAACAGAUCGUGUAUAAGAAUUUACCCAGGAAUCAAUUCAUAAAUACACGAUCAAGAAGCACCACUAGUGCUAUGAACAAGAGCAAGAUACAAGUAUAGAAAUAUAUACAAGUACAUAAGAGAGAAGAGGCUAUCUAUUACAUUCAUUUGAUUUACUACAUCUAGAUACAUCUUUUACAUUCUUCCAAAAUAUAAAUACAAGCACUCAACCCUCACCCUAUACAACAUCUACUCUCAAAUACAAAAGGGGUGACGGCUAAUGCAAGAAGGGAGGUAGCUAAUGCGACUAGAACGCCGGGCCCUUACCGCGGUCCUCACGCUCACCGGGGACACCCGAACUGGAACCUGUGGUAAAAUGGGGGUGAGAACUAACUUCCUUAGUUCCCAGUGGGUUCGGCCGCCGACUCCGCCGAUCUCCCCACUAGGUCCAAGCGGGCACGAGUAGAUAUACCAAUAGAUAGAUAGAUAGAUAGAUAAAUAAGGAAGCUAUAAAUGACGGGAAUUAAGCUAUUCUACUAUGCCCAAUCAUAGAUAUAUGAAUGCAUGUUCGAUGAAUUGGUAAGCAGCUAACCUGUCAGCGUGUCCAAAGGUGAAGCUAUUCACUCGUUCAUUAACCUCAUUUACUUGUCCAUUAAUCUCAUGGCUUACCCGAAGGCUCGCCUACAGCUCACUAGCCAUCUCGACACGUAGGGAGAAUCAACUCACACUACGGACCCGAGACCGUCUGGCGGGGCCAUAUAGGCAAUCCCUGGCGUGACCAACAUCCGGAGCGCACUACUUGUGUGGGGCUUCCAUCACAAGAUUUAACAGACCGUGAGCAUGAUCCAAUCCUCUAAGCUCGAGGAUACCCUGUCCUCUAGAGUCACAAUCAUCAUAUAGUCCAUAGGUUUCAUAUACACUACGACUAGAUUACCAACCAUCCAUUUGUUCGCUAUCGACUAGAUGCCACUCGUUCAUCAUUUACUAUUGACUAGAUGCCACUCGUUCAUCAUUUACUAUUGACUAGAUGCCACUCGUUCAUAGUUCAUCAUUUCUCUACAUUAUAGGAUUCACAAUCUCGACCCAAUCCUUAUCAAUCCAAUAUAUCAAUUAUCCAAUGUACGCUACGAUAUCAUCAAGGAAAAACAUAAGGAAAGGCAAUGCAUACUAAUCCUAUAAUGCAAUAAUACAAGAUGCAAGAUCAAAUAUACUAAGACAUAGGAGGGAGCCCGAUUGCUUCGGGAUGGACACCACCCACCUCUUGGCGAUGCCGCGGUGGUAGAAAACUUGACGCUGCGGUUCUUGUACGCCGCCUAAACUCCUCGGGGCAAAGCGAGCCCUCGAGUACCCGAUUUGGCGAUAACUCCGCACCCGCUCGUCGGAUCGGCAAACCGUCUUCGCCGACGCGUUCAGAGACCUAGCAAUUAGGUUUACGACCCAUUAAAAUAGAUCAGAACCCUAAAUUUACCAAAAACCCAAUUUCAAACCCUAGGUCUCGACAACGGAGAAAUCCGUGGUGCGAGCUUCGAUUUCGAGCUCGAACCUUCCAUUUAUCCCUAAUAGGUUCCAUUUGAACCAAUUCUAAACCCUAAAAAACACAAAACCCUAAAAACACCAUUAAAGGGUUUAGAGCUUACCUCUCUUCAAGACUUCUUCAAGCUUGAGGGAGAGGGAGAGAAGAGGAUAUCUCCUUCUUCUUCUUCUUAGUCUUCUCCUUCUCUUUCUUCUCUUCUUCUCCUUCCUCUUCUUCUUCUUCUUCUCUUUCUUUUCUUUUCUUUCCUAGAGAGAGAGAUAAGGAGUAAGAGAGAGAGAGAGAAAGCAGCUGAGAGGGAGAGAGAGGGGUCCCCAAGCCCUAUUAAAGGCCAUUUUGCAUAUAGCCCCCUCAACUUUUCAUCCUUUGAAUCAGCCCUCUCUGGGCAUUUUCGCAGCGAGAGACCGGUCUCCCCGACUUCGGACCGGUCCCCGAAGGCUGCCAUUUCGAGCAGAGGGAUUCUCGCGUUCGGGAACCGGUCCUUGCCUGAGAGACCGGUCCCCGGGAGACCGGUCCUUGUCCGAGAGACCGGUUCCCGAGAGCUGCAUUCUCGGGACUUAGCCAAAUUUGGCUAAGUCUCGCCAGGCCAACGUUCGGGAACCGGUCCCUGCCCAUCAGGGACCGGUCUCAUCAGAGACCUUCGCAACCCAGCCUGAUGGAACCGGUCCCUCCCUGCCAGGGACCGGUCCCCGAGAGCAUUUCUGCUCCAGUGCAAGUUUUGCACUUGGUGCUCUCGCGGACACUUCCUUAAUGCACUUUAUGCAUUAUAAAAACCUUCGGACUUUCCGAAGCCUACGCACUCGACAACUAGUCGUUUCUAGUCGAAGUCUAAUCCUCGAGUUUCGAGAAUUCACUUCCUUACACAACCUGUCCCUGGACCAGGGAGACCGGUUCCCGAACGUGUGAAUUGGAGAAGGUCCUCUGGGACCGGUCCCUGGCAGGGAGAGACCGGUCCCCGAGUAUGAAAUUUGCCCAGGCAGGCUGGGUCAUGUUGGAGAAGUUGGAGAACUUGAGAAUAUUGCUCUCUUGAGGGUUAGCAUUGGAGAUGUGCCAAAGUGUGCCAUCUCGCAAUAGAGCAAGGGUGCCACCUCACAAUAGAGCGAAGAUCCGGAUGUGAUGGUAGCACUCGCGGUUGAUCGAUGCACCAAUAAUACUGCCUUUAGGCAAUGCCGGUGAUCGAACCGGAGUGGAUUUCCCGAUUGGGCGUGUAAUGCAAGGAGUAGUUCCUUGCAUGGUAGUAAUGCACUUUUGGAGUUGCGCAUGGCGAAUGUGAGUGAAUUUGGUCUCCCAUUCUCCGUAGUGAGCCUUUGGAAAGUUCCGAUAAGUGAAAGGCCACUCCGAGAUGCAAAAGUGCAUUGGAACCCUCGAUUACUCAAUAAGUUGAGUUGAGGUGUGUGUUAGAUUUGAAGUGAGUUAGUUUCGAGGAUGAAACUCUUUUAAGGAGGGGAGAAUGUAA